Equus caballus (horse) is the source of this 4465-nucleotide RNA transcript. It is a transcript of the gene named even-skipped homeobox 1, with no coding region annotated. The record is from RefSeq and is a predicted model, not a curated record. Lineage: Eukaryota; Metazoa; Chordata; Mammalia; Perissodactyla; Equidae.
UCGCAGCUCUCCUUCCCUUCUCCUAUGCCAGUGAGGCCCAGAGCAACGUAAGGCGGGGAGGGGACUGGGGCGCGCUGUUGGGUUGCGACCUGAGGCGGUGGGCACAGGUCAGGUAAAUCUGCGAGGGGCUGGGGAUGGGAUAGUAGCUAGGCGUAGUCCAGGCCGGGUAUUUCUUGGGGCCUCCGGCAAUGUUUUCUUUCCAGGUAUUUGCACGUCUUUCUGCAGAGAGACCCCAGCACGGACACUAGCUCUUUCGGGUUCGACAGCGUCGCGAUUUGGCUCUUUCCAGGGGAACAGUGGCGGGGCAUUUGCUGAUGCGCCUGGUUCAUGGAUCCCAGGACGUUCCACUAGAAAGCUUGGACUGCAGUUAGGAGCUCCCUCCCCUUCCCUGUCCACAGUGUUUCAUAGACCGUACUUAGGCCCGUAGGCUCAGAACGACCCAUCACCACACCCACGCUGACACACGCACACACACACUGAAGUGUACCUUGAUCAUACACUCACACUUACUUAUACAGACUGUUCCUCACUCUGCCCCAGUAACAACCCUUCCUCCUCUAGACUUUGAGAUGGAGAGAGGGAUCUGUGCACAUCGUUCUCCGGUGCUCCCACAUCUCCUGCUGGUCUGGUUUGUCCUGGAAGGAGUUUAAGAGGGACAGGCCCCAGCUGGGUGCCGGCUGGGACUCUGAGCCCCCCUUCUGGGGCCUAACGGGGCUUCAUAGAACCUGGGCAGGAGCUGACUCUCUGGGCACCCGGACGCUCCCUAUUUCACUCCAUUUUGGGACAGGAGAAAGGAGCUCUUUGGGGCCACUUCAUGCCUUCUUCCCAAGUAGGAUUGGGAAGAGCCCUGUCUCCAGCCUGCAGAGGGUGCCCCGUCCUCUUCCCUCCAAGAACCAGCCUGAGACGCCUUUCCUCUGUGCCUGGGAAAUGCGACCCUUUCCUGAGAGCACGGGUCGGGACCAAUGAGGCUGGGUUCCAGUUUUUAUCUGUCCUGUUCGUGGGUUUGCCCGGACCAAUCCAGACCCGGAAAAACGAAAACACAGCUCGGGGAGCCCCCACCAGCCGGCGCCUGUGCCAGCUCACCUCUGGCCAUGGCGCAGCUGCUGGUGCACACAGCGGCCAAGGCCAGCUCCACAUUCCUCCCUCCAGCUCCCCACUUCACCGGAGACCGAGCCCUGCAUGCAGAGGAAGGGCCCCAGCUCCACAGACUGCCAAAGUCGACAGGGUGCCUCCUCACCAAAAAUGGUGAGACAAGAUUUCAUCUUGUCUGCUGAGGAGCAACAAGCAGGAGGGGUGGGAGCGCAGAGAUAAUGGCAAAGGAAGAAAGAUUCAGAGAGGAAAAAAAUGGCUGAGAAGCUGAGGCUAACUAAGAGGGAAAGAGAGAAAGAGAAAAACACCCGAACAGAAUAGCAUCUUCGAAUUUGCAGUUGAUCAGACCGUUUGGGAAAGAGACAAGUGAGGGGCUGCUCUGUUCAUGGUGGACUUUGCGAGUUUCCCCACCUCUGUCCCCACGAGGGCAGACACUGUACUCUUUUUCUUGAGGAAAAAGGGUAGAUUCUGAAGAAACCUGGGCCGAAGCUGGCCAGUAGGCAGAGAAAUGGCACCUCCUGAGUCACUUGCUCAAACCUUUGUUGUAGCUUUGUGUGCAUUUGAAGCAUUAAUGAGGCAGCAAAAAGCCCAAGGCUGUAGGGACAGUUUUGGACUGUGGGAAGUCACUUGGCACUGUGGCGGCUAACUGCUAACAUGAUGAAAGUGGGAGGAAAUGCAAGGUCCAGGAAGACCUGGGAAAACCCCGUCUGCCUUUAAGAUUCCCUAAGCUGGUGGAUUUUGAGGAGAACAAAUUUUUGAAGGAGCAGCUCUCCCGUUGCCUGGUGGGUUCGUUCAGUACCAGGCCUUCAAGGCCAGCAGUGCACUACCUCUCAGAAAGGACGACGCAAGGCCAGGGAGGGCCCCGGUUCCAGCACUGGCCUGCAGUGUUUCCCCUAGAAAGUCCGUGAGCAAGGAGAGGGGCGCCCCCUCUCUCGUUUUGAGCAACCAGCCCCUAAUCCUAGGCUCGCUGGAGGAGCAACACCCAGCCCCCGGCCCCUGCACAGUGCCAGGCGGCGCGGCCCCCAGACUUCCUAGGGUUGGCGCAAACAUGGAGUGAGGGGCGCGUUCCUGCCUGAGACCGGCUGCCUUCGGGCUCUGGGAGGCCUGGGUGAUACCGCCAGUGGCGCUGAUGAUGGCGAGGGGAGUGCCGCCUGCCCCGAUGGCGCCGCCGCAGCUCUCCUCUUGACUGAACCUGGAAACUCAGCCUUCGCUUAAAGGACAGGGGCAUACGUUCGAAGCAGAGGGAACUCGGAGCAACGCUCAGCCGGAAGGAGGAAACGCCUUCUCGAAGUCCUCAGCGGCCCCGCGGGUGUACCCAUCCUUUGCACUGCGGGGGCCCCUGCCGCCCCGGGAGUGAGCUCCCCGUCAACCGGCCGACCAGGGCGCUGGGAGAGCGCAGGACGGCCCGAGGAAUUCCGGGCGGUUGCGACGUGAAAAGGGAGAGAGAACUGUGUCGCGGCUGCUCUCUGUCCCUGCCACUGCCCAAAAGGAGUCCCACCCGCCGGCCUCCGCCCCGAUCCCAGCUUAAUGCUCACGCUCACAACAAAACAGGAAACCAGCGCGGGGCUGUGGAUUCAUUAUGUCAACAAAUACACUGAAGACAUUCGAGUGUUUGAAGGAAAUAGGGGGUUUGGACGUCAGCCUGGCCCCCUUGGAGCCCCGGCAUUCUCGCGGAAAAACCGGUGCAGGCAACCAGGAGGCCAGCGGCCUGGGCCCGCGUGGGUCCGUCUCUCCUCAGAAGCCUGCAGACUCCCCCGUCCUGACCAGGGUUGAGAACUCUGAUGAGUAGAGCAACUGAGGGAAGGAAACUCACCCGCGCAGCCACGAGAAAGGGGAACUCGGAGAACGCAGAGGCGUGAUCAGACAUUUACGGCACGUUACGUGCUGUAAGCAUAACAAUAUAUGUCUUGAUAUGCACACACAGAUUCACACAUCAGAUGCACACACACACACACAGUGAACGCAGACGUCUAUCGUCAUGUGGGUGAAAUACAGGCAUCAUAUCAAAUCCUGAGGAAAAAUGUUUCACCCUGUUGGACCAGCCUUGUGACAUACUUCGGGGUGGUUGGCGUCUGCCUAUCCCGUUCUGAUUUUUUUUCCGACUACUUACUAUUCCCUCCCCGGUGGCUUUGUAAAUACACCUGUCCCCAGUGGAAGGCGAGCCCCGGACUGGCAUUUACCUGGUUGGGGUGCUCUCCCCAGAAACUCUGGCUGGCUCUGGGGACCCGCGCUGAGUCGAUCAGCAGGACCGACGCCGCUCAUGGCGCAGCCGCCGCUUCUUUGCCCCGCUGCUCCAGCCCCGCUCGGCCCAAUCCUCAAGGAAACGAAGCAGUUCAAUAAAAACUUUUGAUAUUAGUUUUUAUGGGUAUUUACACUCUGGUCAGGGGAGCUGAGUACGGAAGCUCCAUUAAUCAGCCCCCAACCUCGGGUUUGGAUGCUCAGUUUAUGGGUUGGGAAAGGGAGCUUGCCGGAAAGAAAGCAUGGGGAUGGCCGGCUGAUUCCGGAGAAAUGAAAAGGGAGCAAGGUCGUUUUCCGUUCUUGGAAAACGAAGAUUAAAUGGGUAAUUCCAGGUGCUACCCAACGGACUACGUUUUUAUUUGAGCCCCCUGGCAGGAAUAACUUUUCCACCUUUGCCAAACACAUCAUUUUAAAAAGUCUUUUUAUUAUGGAAUUUUCCAAACACACAAAAGCAUAACAAGCCCUUGUAUACUCAACUCUUAGUUUCAACCGCUAUUAUCAUUUUGUCUUUCAUGUUUCAUCAUCCGCUUCCACUUUUUUUUUCCUGGAAUAUUUGAAAGUAAAGCCCAAGCUGCAUCAUUCCAUUCCCAAUAUGGGAUUUUGAGGAUAAAUUUCAAGGUUGAGCAAAAUGGCUCAAUAAAAAGGAAUCCUUCCUGUGUCUGAGUGUGAGGGGUCAGUGUGUUUGAACUUGAAUUGUUCUGAUUACAAUCUAAAAAGAACUUGAGGGUCCACCCAAGAGAAAUCUGGACAAAAAAGGGAUUUGGGGUGUGGGUGCAUCUUGCCCGAAAUUUUAUAUGUCUGUUCUUUAUAAAAAAUACAUAUGUAUGCGGGAACUCAUGUUACCCUUUUCCACGAAUGUGUCAUCUUUUAAUGGAAGAUUUCUGCGACUGCAUCAGGAUUUUAUGGGAAGAGGAAAACCAUGCCUUGGUUCUUUCUGUGUCUGAAAUUGACAUAUAUUCCUUUAUUAUUGGACGAGUGACUAUUUCCCAUUUCAACACACCUCCUCCCUUGGUAGAAACCAAAAAGAGAUUUCUAAUGAUUAAGCUAGGAAGGGAAUGUUUAUACUGGUUUGGUAUCUCAUUUCAGCAACCACAGUUUUCAAGAAGAAAUGCAACUCCAUGUAUUCUUAAAAAUCUCA